Molecule: ribosomal RNA, 172 nt
Filed under: Volvocales sp. NrCl902
Lineage: Eukaryota; Viridiplantae; Chlorophyta; Chlorophyceae; Chlamydomonadales
Description: large subunit rRNA fragment L4
Source: RNAcentral
AUUUCAUAGGUAGCAGAACGUUUAUAAAUUGCAAUCGUAAGAGUUAUUGAUAUAAAUUGAAUAUGCAUACAUGAGUAACAACAAAAUUUAGUUAAAUGACCGUAAGCCUAAGGGUUUAGUCUAGUAGUGAAACAUAUAAUAUAAUAUAAUAUAAUAUAAUAUAAUAUAAUAU